Long non-coding RNA from Beta vulgaris subsp. vulgaris (sugar beet), 758 nucleotides. RefSeq lists it as uncharacterized. The record is from RefSeq and is a predicted model, not a curated record. NCBI's taxonomy places the organism in Eukaryota, Viridiplantae, Streptophyta, Magnoliopsida, Caryophyllales, Amaranthaceae. The transcript has 2 exons.
UGCCCUCUCAAACUCUCAAAAUUACUUGCCACCCUUAGUCCCUUACUUCCUUUGUUGUGUUCCUCUAAGCCAUCCAUGGAUCCAUCUUCAUACUCCUCCCUAACCUAGAUAAUCCCCCUUCCCUUUCUCUCUCCCCUUCUCUCCUCUUCCUUUUCGAUCAGCGUCUUCUGCCGGAUUCAGAAUUGCGCUACAAAAUCGCCAAUUGCAUUCACAUAAUAAAAACCUAAUUUAAUCUCCGCUUGAUGAAACUCCGCUUAAUGGAGAUUCAAGUAAUUCUGAUUCUUCUACAGAAACUGUUGAAGAAGCAAAUGAAGAUUCAAAAGCCCUUUUGAAACUCUUCUACUCUUUUGAUUCCCUUGAGUCUCAGCUCGCUUUGCAGGCUAUUGGUGAUGCAUUGCGUGGAUUGUUAUUGGUGUUCAAAUUGUAGGCAAUUAUUACAUGGGCAAAGAAUUUGAGGGGGAAAAGUGUAAGAUUAGCAAGGAAAGAAAAAGUUGGUAGAAGAUGGGAUCGAAAUCCAUCGAUGGUGCUAUGAGAGCAAGCUGACUGUCCUAUUGUCAAGUAAUCAUGUAGUAGUUUCUUUUUUCUUUUUGUUCAAUAUUCUAUUUUUGUUAUCUAUUUGGGGAAAUGUUAGAAUAUAAUGUUGGUGGAAGAUUGGCGCAUUGUAGUCGUUUUGUUAUCGCAGUGUAUUAGUAUUAUGUUAAUAUCGAUAACCAUGUAAUAUUCAAAUAGAUAGGAAUAUAAUGUUGAUUAUACCUUUA